GAUUAUGGCUCAGGACGAACGCUGGCGGCGUGCCUAACACAUGCAAGUCGAGCGAGGAGAUCCUUCGGGAUGAUCCUAGCGGCGGACGGGUGAGUAACACGUGGGCAACCUGCCUCAUAGAGAGGAAUAGCCUUCCGAAAGGGAGAUUAAUACCUCAUAACAUUGCAGUUUCGCAUGGAACAGCAAUUAAAGGAGUAAUCCGCUAUGAGAUGGGCCCGCGGCGCAUUAGCUAGUUGGUGAGGUAACGGCUCACCAAGGCGACGAUGCGUAGCCGACCUGAGAGGGUGAUCGGCCACAUUGGGACUGAGACACGGCCCAGACUCCUACGGGAGGCAGCAGUGGGGAAUAUUGCACAAUGGGGGAAACCCUGAUGCAAGCAACGCCGCGUGAGUGAUGACGGCCUUCGGGUUGUAAAGCUCUGUCUUCAGGGACGAUAAUGACGGUACCUGAGGAGGAAGCCACGGCUAACUACGUGCCAGCCGCUGC
This 486-nucleotide ribosomal RNA is filed under the name uncultured bacterium. Its description in RNAcentral is "bacterial SSU rRNA". It matches the Rfam family "Bacterial small subunit ribosomal RNA", at positions 15 to 518 of the family's 1533-position model. The record is from RNAcentral.